UGAGGAAUAUUGGUCAAUGGACGAGAGUCUGAACCAGCCAAGUAGCGUGCAGGAUGACGGCCCUAUGGGUUGUAAACUGCUUUUAUAAGGGAAUAAAGUGAGAGUCGUGACUCUUUUUGCAUGUACCUUAUGAAUAAGGACCGGCUAAUUCCGUGCCAGCAGCCGCGGUAAUACGGAAGGUCCGGGCGUUAUCCGGAUUUAUUGGGUUUAAAGGGAGCGUAGGCCGGAGAUUAAGCGUGUUGUGAAAUGUAGACGCUCAACGUCUGCACUGCAGCGCGAACUGGUUUCCUUGAGUACGCACAAAGUGGGCGGAAUUCGUGGUGUAGCGGUGAAAUGCUUAGAUAUCACGAAGAACUCCGAUUGCGAAGGCAGCUCACUGGAGCGCAACUGACGCUGAAGCUCGAAAGUGCGGGUAUCGAACAGG
This 424-nucleotide ribosomal RNA is filed under the name uncultured bacterium. RNAcentral describes it as "bacterial SSU rRNA". It matches the Rfam family "Bacterial small subunit ribosomal RNA", at positions 355 to 776 of the family's 1533-position model. RNAcentral also lists the same sequence under 1 other name. The record is from RNAcentral.